AUGCACGCUGGCGGCGUGCCUAAUACCUGCAAGUCGAGCGAACAGACGAGGAGCUUGCUCCUCUGACGUUAGCGGCGGACGGGUGAGUAACACGUGGAUAACCUACCUAUAAGACUGGGAUAACUUCGGGAAACCGGAGUUAAUACCGGAUAAUAUAUUGAACCGCAUGGUUCAAUAGUGAAAGACGGUUUUGCUGUCACUUAUAGAUGGAUCCGCGCCGCAUUAGCUAGUUGGUAAGGUAACGGCUUACCAAGGCGACGAUGCGUAGCCGACCUGAGAGGGUGAUCGGCCACACUGGAACUGAGACACGGUCCAGACUCCUACGGGAGGCAGCAGUAGGGAAUCUUCCGCAAUGGGCGAAAGCCUGACGGAGCAACGCCGCGUGAGUGAUGAAGGUCUUCGGAUCGUAAAACUCUGUUAUUAGGGAAGAACAAAUGUGUAAGUAACUAUGCACGUCUUGACGGUACCUAAUCAGAAAGCCACGGCUAACUACGUG
This 496-nucleotide ribosomal RNA is filed under the name uncultured bacterium. Its description in RNAcentral is "partial 16S ribosomal RNA". It matches the Rfam family "Bacterial small subunit ribosomal RNA", at positions 29 to 507 of the family's 1533-position model. The record is from RNAcentral.